RNAcentral lists this transfer RNA (16 nucleotides) under Leptobrachium xanthospilum. RNAcentral describes it as "partial tRNA-Leu". The record is from RNAcentral. RNAcentral also lists the same sequence under 4 other names. Lineage: Eukaryota; Metazoa; Chordata; Amphibia; Anura; Megophryidae.
ACUCCUCCCGGUAGCU